GAGCUCUUGACCCAAUCGUUUCUUCAAGUUCGUCUACAGCAGUAAGCUUUAGGAGCCGCGGUUUCGGAAGGCAAUAGCCCGUCUAGCACUAUUGCAAAGUGGAACUUACGAGCUUCAGUUUGGGAAGACAGUCCGCGCGUCGUCUAAACCUUUUGUCUACUAAAAACCAGUAUUGCAAAGUGGGACUGACUUACAAGCUUCGCUUUGGGAAGACUGUCCAUCGUCUAAACCUCUGAUUAAACAUGGAAAUAAAGGAUGGCUUGAGUGCAGCUAGUUUUGAAGCUCUUAGCAAAGAUAAUUAUGUGGCUUGGAGUGUUCGGGUUAAAACCUAUUUGAUGGCUCAAGAUCUGUGGGAAAUAGUGGAAGCAACCACUGAACCUCCUAAGCAAGAAUAUGAUGAAGCGGCUUUCAAUACUUGGAGCAAGAAGAAUUCCAUGGCUUUAAAUGUGAUCCAGGUUUCAUGCGGGCCAAACGCAUUGUCUAUUAUUAGGCAUAUUAGUUCUGCUAAAAUUGCAUGGAAUACUUUAAAAGGUCUCUCUCUCUCUCUCUCUCUCUCUCUCUCUCUCUCUCAAAAAUGCAUAGCUUCAAACAAAGGUUGCUUCUGAGUGCAGUUGUUCUUCAAGUUCUUGAGAAACAUAAUUAUGUGGAUUGGAGUUUUCGGGUAAAAACUUAUUUGAUGGCUCAUGGUCUUUGGGAAAUAAUUGAAGUAACCACUGAACCUCCAAAGCGAGAAGAUGAUGAAGUUGCUUUUAAGUCUUGGAGUAAGAAGAACUCCAUGGCCUUACAUGUAAUCCAAAUUUCAUGCGGACUAGACACAUUUUCUGAGAUUUAUCAUAUUAGUUUGGCAAAAAUCGCUUGGGAUACGUUGGCAAAAAAGCAUAGCAUGCCUAGAGGUACUGACUCAAGUCCCCCUCUCUCUCACACUCAACCGUGCAAAUGCUCAUAAUAGUCGGCAUGUUUUCUUGUUAAUUCAAUUCUGUCAUCUUAAAUUUUACCAUGGUUUUAGAAAUGUCCAUUUGCCAACUUAUUUUUGAAUUAAUUGGCAUAGUGCCAUGUCAGAUAAAUAAAUUCAUGAAACUUAGUUAAAUAAAAAAUAUAACUAAAAAAAAUAAAAUAGUGGUGGCUAUGAGCUAGUCCUCCUGUCACAUAAAUUUAAAAAGUAUAAAUAUCUUAUUAAAGAAGUUCUUGUCACCUAAUGAUAGUUCCUUUUAUCUUUCAAAGUUUUGGUUCACAAUGACUAUUACUUAUUCUUUUUCAGUUAUGUUAUUAAAUCUAGUAAUUUUUUUUUCUUUUCCAAACGGGGGAGAGGGAACAUGAGUUAUUUAUUCUAGUCCAAUUGGUCGAUUUUAUUAUUUUUGGAAAAUCAUUAGUUCAAUAAAUUCUUAUUGGUUUUCUUGCAGGGUAUAGUAAACUAUGUAACCAAAAUUAGUCUUGUUAGAACAGUUUCCGGUACGGUGUGAACUGUAUGUUCUUCGAUGCUCUUCACGCUCCCACGAUCAUUGCAAAACAACUAAAACUAAAAGACCCUUCCAGGGGUCUUGCCCCGAUGCCUAAAUUAGUUUUUGAGAGAAAAGUAUGCUCAAAGCAUAAAAUAAUCAGUCUGUCAUUUAUAUUUGGGGUAUGGGCCUAUUUAUAGGCAAAGAGAUUAAGUCAAACUUGAAUUAGGUUUUCUACUCAUACUUAACCAUGGAAUUUGAUUUGGCCUGGAGUCCCAUCGCCAUUCAAUCUGGAGUAAGACAGCUAACCAGAUUCUUCAAUGAGUCCUAAUUGGACUCGGAUUGUGAGUCAUAACCUCCCAAUUCGACUUGGAGUAAGGUUCUGAUCCCGAUUUUAAGUGGGAUUUAUUCCCAAUAGUUACCCCCAAUUCCCUUAUCCGAGACAUACUCGGAUAAUGGGAAUUCUAUGUCUCUAAAAAUUGGAGCAUUAACUUCUUCCGAGGCUUGAACAAUCUUUAGCUCCUGACCCUUAAAAGUCUCGGGUUCAAAUUCUACACUUCCUGGGGAUACUGGGCGUGUGAUCACACCCGAGACAUGUCUUUCUAUCCUAGUGAAGAUCGACCAACCCCACUGCCUUCGGAUUCCGGGGGUGACAAUCCUUAGUAAAUUUUGUUGAGAAUAUCUUUCGGAAAUGUGUGAUACCUUUGUAGUUUCUGAAAACCUGAAACCUGCAAACCCGAGGGUUAAAUCCAACCCCCAUGCCUUCUCAUUUUUCUUAGGGUUUUCUCCCUCUAACUUGAAAAACUGAGGGUUAUCGGAAAAGCGAGGGUUACGUGAAAACUGAAGGUUGUCUCCCUUCCUUGUUUUCUCUGCAAGGUUUUCUCCCUGGACUUUCCUUACGGUUUUCUCUCGUCCUUGUUUUCUCUACAAGGUCGUCUCCCUUGAUUUGCCUUAUGGUUUUCCCCUAUCUCCAGGGUAGCUCCAUGCCUUCUUGUUUUUUCUUAGGGUUUUCUCUCUAUCUCCAUGGAUGACCCUAUUCCUCUUGAGAAUCGAGGGUCGUCUCCCUUCAUCCGAGGUUGGCUCCAUGUCUUCUUGUUAUUGAUAAGGUUGUCUCUUUGCCUUGUUUUCUCUGCAAGGUUGUCUCCCUGGAUUUGCCUUAGGCUUUUCUCCCUUUCUUGUUUUCUCUGCAGGGUUGUCUCCUUGGAUUUGCCUUAGGCCUU
Alnus glutinosa is the source of this 2656-nucleotide long non-coding RNA. RefSeq lists it as uncharacterized. The record is from RefSeq and is a predicted model, not a curated record. The transcript has 4 exons. NCBI's taxonomy places the organism in Eukaryota, Viridiplantae, Streptophyta, Magnoliopsida, Fagales, Betulaceae.